UAGGGAAUCUUCCGCAAUGGACGAAAGUCUGACGGAGCAACGCCGCGUGAGUGAAGAAGGAUUUCGGUUCGUAAAACUCUGUUGUUAGGGAAGAAAAAAUGUAUAGUAACUAUAUACAAAAGAGACGGUACCUAACCAGAAAGCCACGGCUAACUACGUGCCAGCAGCCGAGGUAAUACGUAGGUGGCAAGCGUUGUCCGGAAUUAUUGGGCGUAAAGCGAUGGAAGGUGGUUUAGAAAGUCUGAUGUGAAAGCCCACGGCUCAACCGUGGAGGGUCAUUGGAAACUAAUAAACUUGAGUGCAGGAGAGAAAAGUGGAAUUCCUAGUGUAGCGGUGAAAUGCGGAGAGAUUAGGAGGAACACCGGUGGCGAAAGCGGCUUUUUGGUCUGCAACUGACACUGAGGCGCGAAAGCGUGGGGAGCAAACAGG
This 429-nucleotide ribosomal RNA is filed under the name Verrucomicrobiota bacterium. RNAcentral describes it as "Verrucomicrobia bacterium partial 16S ribosomal RNA". It matches the Rfam family "Bacterial small subunit ribosomal RNA", at positions 355 to 776 of the family's 1533-position model. Lineage: Bacteria; Pseudomonadati; Verrucomicrobiota. The record is from RNAcentral.